UGGGGAAUAUUGCGCAAUGGGCGAAAGCCUGACGCAGCGACGCCGCGUGAGGGAUGAAGGUCUUCGGAUCGUAAACCUCUGUCAGCAGGGAAGAACGGUCACUGUGCUAAUCAGCAGUGAAUUGACGGUACCUGCAAAGGAAGCACCGGCUAACUCCGUGCC
This 162-nucleotide ribosomal RNA is filed under the name uncultured bacterium. RNAcentral's name for it is "partial 16S ribosomal RNA". It matches the Rfam family "Bacterial small subunit ribosomal RNA", at positions 355 to 509 of the family's 1533-position model. The record is from RNAcentral.